AAACCACCACUUCAUUAUUGCUUGAGAACAGCUGUCAGUUUGCCUUCCUCCUGCCAAUACUCCGACUGCCAGAGAAAAGCUAAACUGCGGGUCCCCAACCCUGGACCACAGCACACAGAACAGUGGACUUCUUCAGAAUCUUCUUGUAAAAUGACCUGAAACUACAGUGAGAAGAAGGGAAACAAUGAAUUUGAAGAAAUGAGCAUUUGAUCUAGAGACUUCUUCAUGGGGAGAAAAGGAACCAUUUGCACAUAUGCAGUCUUUGAAUCCCUAAGAACCUGCUUCCUCAUCUCAAAGGGCUGCUGUUUAGGAGCUCUGGCCAGGAAGGAGGGGAGCAGAGCCUGGUCUGUAAAGCCCAGGAUUUUGAACAGGACAAAUGCAGAAGAAUCCCAGUUCGUUACCCAUGGACUCCAUGACUCUGGGCAAAUUUGUUUUCAUCUUUGGAAAAAACAGUGGUAGUAGCUAUCUUACAGAUCUGUCUUAAGGAAUAAGUUGAAGAAAAUAUGCAAACUUCUUAUCACAGUCACCUUGAAGAAGCAAUACUUCUAUGGAUAGUACUAUUCGGUAUCAACAAUAGCUAAUUAUGCUAAUUAGGUUUGAUUAAGGGUAGACUGGAAAAAUUGGAAAGCUGGCAGCAGGUCAUAUAUUUUUCUCUCUCAUCUACUUCUUUUGAACACAUUCUUUCUUUGUCAUCCUCAAACAGGAAGUGCCACAUGACAUUCUGUGGACUUGUGGCAAACACUCAGAAUCAAACACAUGAAAAUGACAUACCAGACUAUAUUUUUUUUCACAAAAGCAGAAUAAAAUUUCUUAAUGAAACCAAA
This is a non-coding RNA of Peromyscus maniculatus bairdii (prairie deer mouse), 824 nucleotides long. Lineage: Eukaryota; Metazoa; Chordata; Mammalia; Rodentia; Cricetidae. The record is from RefSeq and is a predicted model, not a curated record.